AAGUCGUAACAAGGUCUCCGUAGGUGAACCUGCGGAGGGAUCAUUACCGAGUUAGGGUCUCACCGGCCCGAUCUCCCAACCCUUUGUCUACUUGACCAUCGUUGCUUCGGCGAGCCCGUCCUCACGGACCGCCGGGGGGUCUUUGUACCCCUUGGCCCGCGCUCGUCGAUAGCCCCCAAAUUUAAAAAAUCUUAACUAAACGUGUCUUGAAUCUAAGUAUUAUUGUUAAAUAAAAACAAAACUUUCAACAACGGAUCUCUUGGUUCUGGCAUCGAUGAAGAACGCAGCGAAAUGCGAUAAGUAAUGCGAAUUGCAGAAUUCCAGUGAGUCAUCGAAUCUUUGAACGCACAUUGCGCCCUUUGGUAUUCCGAAGGGCAUGCCUGUUCGAGCGUCAUUAUCACCCCUCAAGCCCUCGGCUUGGUGUUGGACGGUUUGGUGGAGACCCCCCUCGGGUGGGCUUCUACCCCUCCCAAAGACAAUGACGGCGGCCUCGUUGGACCCCCGGUACACUGAGUUCUUCACGGGACACGUAUCGGACACAUGGCUUUACGGGACACGGUCUGCCUCCCCUCAGGGAGAAUCUUUUUUUUAUCAAGGUUGACCUCGGAUCAGGUAGGGAUACCCGCUGAACUUAA
RNAcentral lists this ribosomal RNA (635 nucleotides) under uncultured fungus. RNAcentral's name for it is "eukaryotic LSU rRNA". The stretch from base 240 to 394 matches the Rfam family "5.8S ribosomal RNA". Lineage: Eukaryota; Fungi. The record is from RNAcentral.